UUUAAAUUGAGAGUUUGAUCCUGGCUCAGGAUGAACGCUGGUGGCGUGCCUAAUACAUGCAAGUCGUACGCUAGCCGCUGAAUUGAUCCUUCGGGUGAAGUGAGGCAAUGACUAGAGUGGCGAACUGGUGAGUAACACGUAAGAAACCUGCCCUUUAGUGGGGGAUAACAUUUGGAAACAGAUGCUAAUACCGCGUAACAACAAAUCACAC
Molecule: ribosomal RNA, 211 nt
Filed under: Oenococcus oeni
Lineage: Bacteria; Bacillati; Bacillota; Bacilli; Lactobacillales; Lactobacillaceae
Description: partial 16S ribosomal RNA
Rfam family: Bacterial small subunit ribosomal RNA
Source: RNAcentral